AGCGAACGCUGGCGGCAGGCUUAACACAUGCAAGUCGAGCGGGCACUUCGGUGUCAGCGGCAGACGGGUGAGUAACACGUGGGAACGUACCCUUCGGUUCGGAAUAACGCUGGGAAACUAGCGCUAAUACCGGAUACGCCCUUUUGGGGAAAGGUUUACUGCCGAAGGAUCGGCCCGCGUCUGAUUAGCUAGUUGGUGGGGUAAUGGCCUACCAGGGCGACGAUCAGUAGCUGGUCUGAGAGGAUGAUCAGCCACACUGGGACUGAGACACGGCCCAGACUCCUACGGGAGGCAGCAGUGGGGAAUAUUGGACAAUGGGCGCAAGCCUGAUCCAGCCAUGCCGCGUGAGUGAUGAAGGCCUUAGGGUUGUAAAGCUCUUUUGUCCGGGACGAUAAUGACGGUACCGGAAGAAUAAGCCCCGGCUAACUUCGUG
This 433-nucleotide ribosomal RNA is filed under the name uncultured bacterium. RNAcentral's name for it is "partial 16S ribosomal RNA". It matches the Rfam family "Bacterial small subunit ribosomal RNA", at positions 29 to 507 of the family's 1533-position model. The record is from RNAcentral.